Molecule: ribosomal RNA, 396 nt
Filed under: uncultured bacterium
Lineage: Bacteria
Description: partial 16S ribosomal RNA
Rfam family: Bacterial small subunit ribosomal RNA
Source: RNAcentral
AUACGUAGGUGGCAAGCGUUGUCCGGAAUUAUUGGGCGUAAAGCGCAUGUAGGCGGCGUGUUAAGUCUGUCGUGAAACUGCGGGGCUCAGCCCCGUAUGGCGAUGGAAACUGAUGUGCUUGAGUGCAGGAGAGGAAAGGGGAACUCCCAGUGUAGCGGUGAAAUGCGUAGAUAUUGGGAAGAACACCGGUGGCGAAGGCGCCUUUCUGGACUGUGUCUGACGCUGAGAUGCGAAAGCCAGGGUAGCGAACGGGAUUAGAUACCCCGGUAUUCCUGGCCGUAAACGAUGGGUACUAGGUGUGGGAGGUAUCGACCCCUUCCGUGCCGGAGUUAACGCAAUAAGUACCCCGCCUGGGGAGUACGGCCGCAAGGCUUAAACUCAAAUGAAUUGACGGGG